UGAAGUUACACCUCACAAAAAUUUCUCCCCUAGGAAUGCUAUACAUAUGAUUAAGGUGAAGCAUGUUUAAAUCACGAAGUUCAAGCAUCAUAUCCAUCCAUUUAAGCAUUUACUGGAUGAGGAAUUUUAUAUGUGAGUGAGUGUAUAUAAGUACAUAAGCAUCUAUAUGUCAAUACAUACGUAUACGUGCAUGCAUAUAGA
Molecule: unclassified non-coding RNA, 201 nt
Filed under: Hevea brasiliensis (rubber tree)
Lineage: Eukaryota; Viridiplantae; Streptophyta; Magnoliopsida; Malpighiales; Euphorbiaceae
Source: RNAcentral